GGAGAUAACAGCAGAGAUACACCAGCUACAUAUAACGGGAUAUCUGAUUUAACCGUGUUGCUAAUGGAAAAAUACACCACGAGCACGGAGCAUGUCUUCACUGUUAGUUUCGGAUGCCUUAAGGUCACACUUGGUCUCUGGUGAACAGAACCCCCAGUUAUUUAACUCCAAUGCCUAAAAACCAAGACACAACCGAAACAAAAAGAAAACAAAUUAAAACGAGAUAAUCAGCUUCGUGCGCAAUAGUGUUGUUUGGCAGCGCCUGCAGAGGGCAGCAGUGGUCCCGGGAGCUGGGAGUCGAGUGCCAGUUCUCGCGUCAGACACAACAAACUCGCACCUUUGGAGACUGCGGCCGAGAACACAGGCGUCAUGAACCCUGGGCAUUCAGAAAUCACAUACGACGAACUGUCAAACAACCUGAAGGACGUCACGGUGAUCGACGUCAGGAAUCGCAUCGAAAUGGAACAGAAUGGACAGAUUCCCGGAUCGCACUGCAUUCCCGGUGUGUAUGCCUUGGUGGUCAGUCCCUCUCUUUUACCACUACUACUACUGCUACUGCUACUACUACUACA
This is a long non-coding RNA of Penaeus indicus, 572 nucleotides long. RefSeq lists it as uncharacterized. The transcript is spliced from 3 exons. NCBI's taxonomy places the organism in Eukaryota, Metazoa, Arthropoda, Malacostraca, Decapoda, Penaeidae. The record is from RefSeq and is a predicted model, not a curated record.